UCACAGGCCAGACAACUCAGCAUGCUUGAAAUUCACAGCAGCCAUUUCAGAUCUCAACAUAUUUAGGCCCUUUGACUUGGCUGUUUAAUGUGCUAGAAAAGGUCCCAGGAAACAGAAAAGGGUCACCUGGUUCCCGUACAAGACAACUACACCUUGAAAAGUAACAGAGCAUUGCAGAAGCACCACUCCUGAUAGCAGCUCUCCCGACUGCUGAGUUACAUUGUGUUAUGCCAGUGUGCCUCUGGAGGUCACUUACAGCUCUGAGAACUCAGCUUCCACCUGUUUGGCCAGAGGACACUGCCCGAUGACUUGGAGGAAGGAGAUGGCCUCAAGAAGUUUGUUCUCUGUCUGAGCCAAGUACUGGUGAUACGGUCUGGGAGAAGUGUUUCUACAAGAACUAAAGAACUGGAGAAACCAUCAAAGGAAGAGUUGAAGCUCAUUGGGGAAAGCCACAGAGCUACACCAGCACCCUCAUGUUCCUGAGAAAAUGAGUCUGAAGAAACAAAUAUAUCAAGGUCAAGAAAGAAAUGAGAAGGCUGAGUGUUUAAGAGCAUAAAAAGAGAGUUUUUUUCCCUGAAA
Long non-coding RNA from Fukomys damarensis (Damara mole-rat), 579 nucleotides. RefSeq lists it as uncharacterized. Lineage: Eukaryota; Metazoa; Chordata; Mammalia; Rodentia; Bathyergidae. The record is from RefSeq and is a predicted model, not a curated record. The transcript has 3 exons.